UACUCCUAGGUUUCUUUCUUUGCACAUCACAAACCAGUAAAAAUAUACGCCAAAACGCGCCGCCGCAAGCUCGCCACUCUGAGCCGCCGCGCCGCCGCCGUCGCAGAAUCGAAGGUGGUGGCGCCAUCAUCGGGCUGGUAGGCACACGACCCACUCCUCCUCCUCCUCCUCGGCCAUGGCAGGGCCAUGGCCCCUCCUCCGGUCGUUCCUGAGGAACUGCGUCGCCGGAACCCUCGUCGUCGUCACCGUCAACGACCGGUACGCCUCCGUCAUCACCGUGCGUGGCACCUCCAUGAACCCCACCUUGGAGUCCCAACAAGGUGACCGCGCGCUGGUGAGCCGGCUCUGCCUCGACGCCCGCUACGGAUUGUCCCGCGGCGACGUCGUCGUCUUCCGGUCGCCGACGGAGCACCGGAGCUUGUUGGUGAAGAGGUUGAUCGCGUUGCCCGGCGACUGGAUCCAGGUGCCGGCGGCUCAGGAGAUCCGGCAGAUACCCGUGGGGCACUGCUGGGUGGAAGGGGAUAAUCCUGACGUCAGCUGGGACUCGCGAAGCUAUGGCCCUAUUCCUCUCGGUCUGAUGCAGGGGAGGGUCACACACAUAGUCUGGCCACCAAAUAGAAUUGGCCCAGUUGAGAGAAAGAUGCCAGAAGGAAGAGUAAUGCAGCGAUGACUUUUGAAUCUCUUGUUAGGUUGGCUAAUACAGUUUUUCCCCAACUGGAGUAGGAUACAGGUUCAGAAGCCUCAAGAUUAAUUGUACUAUCAAAGACAGUGAAGUAAGAAUGUCAUGGUCAUUGGGAAUUUCAUUCCUAAUGGCACUGAAGUUGAUUCUCCUUCCAGAGUUCGUUGCAGAAUGCAUGCCCUGCAGAUCGUCAUGUUGUUGGAAUUUUUAAUUGGACUUACCAGGUUCUCAGGUAAUUAUACAAUUCUUCUCUUUUGUUAAAAGAAAACCAUAAUUGUUUCAUCCAGCCCUUAAAAAACCUUCAAAUUCUUUUUGAAAUUAAACUAAGCGAGCUAUUAUCAAUCGAACUAAAGUCAAACUUUAUAGUGCUUAUAAAAUAUUAUAAGUUUUAUCCCAUUCAUAGAAAGGAAAUAAAAUGAGAAUCUUUGCCUAUAUCAUGACUAGGGUAAAAUUUGCAGACUGAAAAGCCUGGAUCUGCAGCUUUAAUUUUCCUUCUUUAUAUGAGUUGGCAAGUGUUCUCCAAGCAAUCUAGAUUUGUCUACAUUUCCUAACAUAUCGAAAUUCUAUACGAGUGUCGUGCUGUUCAAUAGAUGCAUUCUUUUCUGCCUUGUAACCUAAGACUUUGGUUUCAUUGUUCACCUUAUAGAUAUCUCUGUACGUGUUCUGUAGUUAUCUUUAACAAGUAGCCAAUGCUUUAAAGGCUUCUUCAAGAAUAUGAUAUAAAAAAGGUGGAUAUACUAUUCCCGUCGACUUUGUUCUAUAUAUGAUAUCACGGUAAAUAUUUUUGCUUCUGUUCAGUGAUGAAUGCUUGCUUUAUAAAAUUUAACCUAUUUAAUUCACGGCCUAUAGUGUGCCUUUAAUUGUAGAUUUCUGCUUUCUUUUUGGCUUAGACAUAACAAUGGGUUUCAUUGAGCAGGUAAUUUGGUCCAGGUUGUAUCAUAGCAUUUCACACCCCUUUUACUUGCAGUAGAAAUGUCAGAGAGGGACAUCACCAUAUCCUCAAACAAUUAAGUUCCAAUUAACUGAAUCACUAAAGUUGUUUUCUGUUCAAAGGCUAUGCAAGUGCAUCCUUAGAAACAUUUGUUGCGGCAUUAGCAGGAUGCCGCAUCAAUCACGUAUAUAAUUUAUCUCCAUUCUCCAGUCUUUUGGAACUAAAUAGUCUCACACCAUGGAGUUCUGGAAAUCUACAGAGGUGAUCACGUGAUUAGUGGAUCAUAUCAAGGAACACAACUAAACAAUUGCCAUAGAGAUAUAAUAACAAUUUACUAUAAGCCCCGAUAUGAUUCAUUUUUAAUUAGUUGCAUUUUAACUAGCCAUUAGCAGAGGUGCUGCAGGUGGAUACUACAUAUAGAUAGUACUUAUUUGCAGAUGAUAUUGUGGACUAUGCAUACAUGGAACUAAGGAGAAAAACAACAGAGAAUGUUGGGCUAUAUAUUCAGGUGUACCUUCACAAAUGGGCAAACAUCUCCCAGGUGUAUGCUCCCCAGUUUUGCAAAGGAAAUUAUGUGCUCAGCUGUGUUCAUCCUUCCUCUGCUCCAAACACAAGUAGCCAUCAUGAGCUCAGCUGCUGAAAAUGCCUCCAGUGAUCUAAAGCGCUAGUAAGCAUGAUCGGUGACAAAGACAGUGUCCAACUUGUGACAUCUAUCAAUGCAGCACCACUUUAGACGAAGCCAUCUAACUUCUUCUAUCUCCUGACAGCAACAUGUGUUUAGGAUUGACAUUGGUGAUGGAAGAAUUGUCAUGCAGAUGCAACGAAUCGACCCUGUUCAUCAGAAUCGCUACGGCACUCAACACUUGUUCAUUGGCCACAUUAGCAUGGCUUACUCCCUCUCCAAUCUCCAAAUGGUGCUACACUAUUGGCAUAAUCAGGAUGCUCAAUGACUAUCAUGUCCAAGUUGAUAUCCUCAUAGUUAUCAUCUCCUUUUUGAGUUCUGUAUUUUUUGGGGGCCGAAGAGUUGCAGAUAGUUAGAUGGAUAUCUUUGUUACAUUUUUAACCUGUUCCAUUAAAAUUGGAAAAUAGAAACUCGAACUUAAAAAGAAAGGAGAGGGAGAUCAUAGGUUAUUCUGAUAAAUGUGGAAUUACAUAGAGAGAGUCCAUCUAUAUAGUUCAGUGACAGCACAAUCUGAAGAUACAUAAUUUGUAAUGGGGAAUUAAAGUACAAAUUGAAAAUUUAUUUAGAGUAUAGCAAUUUCGUUCAUCAAAUACUCAAUGCCUAGGUUGAUUAUCCAAG
Oryza sativa Japonica Group (Japanese rice) is the source of this 2910-nucleotide RNA transcript. RefSeq lists it as uncharacterized. NCBI's taxonomy places the organism in Eukaryota, Viridiplantae, Streptophyta, Magnoliopsida, Poales, Poaceae. The record is from RefSeq and is a predicted model, not a curated record.